AGCGAGCGCUGGCGGCAGGCUUAACACAUGCAAGUCGAGCGGGCAUCCUUGUGGUGUCAGCGGCAGACGGGUGAGUAACGCGUGGGAACGUGCCCUUCGGUUCGGAAUAACUCAGGGAAACUUGAGCUAAUACCGGAUACGUGCGAGAGCAGAAAGGUUUAUCUGCCGAAGGAUCGGCCCGCGUCUGAUUAGCUAGUUGGUGAGGUUAUGGCUCACCAAGGCGACGAUCAGUAGCUGGUCUGAGAGGAUGAUCAGCCACACUGGGACUGAGACACGGCCCAGACUCCUACGGGAGGCAGCAGUGGGGAAUAUUGGACAAUGGGGGCAACCCUGAUCCAGCCAUGCCGCGUGAGUGAUGACGGCCUUAGGGUUGUAAAGCUCUUUUCUCCGGGACGAUAAUGACGGUACCGGAGGAAUAAGCCCCGGCUAACUUCGUG
This 437-nucleotide ribosomal RNA is filed under the name uncultured bacterium. RNAcentral's name for it is "partial 16S ribosomal RNA". It matches the Rfam family "Bacterial small subunit ribosomal RNA", at positions 29 to 507 of the family's 1533-position model. The record is from RNAcentral.